RNAcentral lists this non-coding RNA (173 nucleotides) under Clostridium tepidiprofundi. Lineage: Bacteria; Bacillati; Bacillota; Clostridia; Eubacteriales; Clostridiaceae. The record is from RNAcentral. RNAcentral also lists the same sequence under 1 other name.
AAUUGGAUAUUUUUGAUAGGUUCAAGUGAUUGAUUAAAAGGGAAGCGAGGUGAAAGUCCUACACGGUCCCGCCACUGUGAGAGUGUAGUCGGCAUGUAUACCACUGGGAAACUGGGAAGGUUUGUCGAUGUAUAUGCUUUAGUCAGGAGACCUGCCUAUCGAUGGUACCAGUA